ACGGGUGAGUAACGCGCGGGUAACCUGCCUUAUACAGGGGGAUAACAGUUAGAAAUGACUGCUAAUACCGCAUAAGCGCACAGGAUUGCAUGAUCUGGUGUGAAAAACUCCGGUGGUAUAAGAUGGACCCGCGUCUGAUUAGCUGGUUGGUGAGGUAACGGCCCACCAAGGCGACGAUCAGUAGCCGACCUGAGAGGGUGACCGGCCACAUUGGGACUGAGACACGGCCCAGACUCCUACGGGAGGCAGCAUG
RNAcentral lists this ribosomal RNA (253 nucleotides) under uncultured bacterium. RNAcentral's name for it is "partial 16S ribosomal RNA". It matches the Rfam family "Bacterial small subunit ribosomal RNA", at positions 102 to 353 of the family's 1533-position model. The record is from RNAcentral.